GUGAGUUCUGGUUCCUUGCAUGGAGAGCUGGGGGGUGGGGGAGCGGACCCUGGGCGGAGGGCGGGGUCAGGAGGGAUGUGUAACCCUUGUCCUUUGUUUCUGCUCCUCUAGGCUCCCUCCAGGUGUGGACCCCACCCUGGUGUCCUCUUCCCUGUCCCCUGAGGGCACACUCACCGUGGAGGCUCCGCUGCCCAAAGCAGUCACACAAUCAGCGGAGAUCACCAUUCCGGUCACUUUCGAGGCCCGUGCCCAAAUUGGAGGCCCAGAGUCGGAACAGUCUGGAGCCAAGUAGAAGCCUUCAGCUUGCUACCCAUCCCCAGUAGCCGUCACCAGCCCUCCCUCUCUGUCAAUCUGAAUGCUCUUUUGAUACAUGUACUUUCUGUUUUUCUCAAAUAAAAGUUGGAAACUACUGCUCACC
Molecule: long non-coding RNA, 418 nt
Filed under: Rattus norvegicus (Norway rat)
Lineage: Eukaryota; Metazoa; Chordata; Mammalia; Rodentia; Muridae
Description: long non-coding RNA NONRATT007865
Source: RNAcentral